GUCUAUGGCAAUACCACCCAGAACAGGCCAAUCUUAUCUCAGGAGCUAAGCAAGGUUGGCCCUAGAUAGUAAGGAUGGGAUAUCUUGGAUGGGAGACUGCCUGGGAAUACUGGGUGUUGUAGUCU
This 125-nucleotide ribosomal RNA is filed under the name Tupaia belangeri (northern tree shrew). Lineage: Eukaryota; Metazoa; Chordata; Mammalia; Scandentia; Tupaiidae. The record is from RNAcentral.